CGAAAUUGGUAGACGCUGCGGACUUAAAAUCCGUUGGCUUUUUAGACCGUGAGGGUUCAAGUCCCUCUACCCCCA
Molecule: transfer RNA, 75 nt
Filed under: Lophozia fuscovirens
Lineage: Eukaryota; Viridiplantae; Streptophyta; Jungermanniopsida; Jungermanniales; Lophoziaceae
Also listed under: 5 other names
Description: partial tRNA-Leu
Rfam family: tRNA
About the family: Transfer RNA (tRNA) molecules are approximately 80 nucleotides in length. Their secondary structure includes four short double-helical elements and three loops (D, anti-codon, and T loops). Further hydrogen bonds mediate the characteristic L-shaped molecular structure. tRNAs have two regions of fundamental functional importance: the anti-codon, which is responsible for specific mRNA codon recognition, and the 3' end, to which the tRNAs corresponding amino acid is attached (by aminoacyl-tRNA synthetases). tRNAs cope with the degeneracy of the genetic code in two manners: having more than one tRNA (with a specific anti-codon) for a particular amino acid; and 'wobble' base-pairing, i.e. permitting non-standard base-pairing at the 3rd anti-codon position.
Source: RNAcentral